GUCCACGCCGUAAACGAUGGAUGCUAGCCGUUAGGCAGCUUGCUGCUUAGUGGCGCAGCUAACGCUUUAAGCAUCCCGCCUGGGGAGUACGGUCGCAAGAUUAAAACUCAAAGGAAUUGACGGGGGGCCCGCACAAGCGGUGGAGCAUGUGGUUUUAAUUCGAAGCAACGCGCAGAACCUUACCAGCUUUUGACAUGUCCUGGACGGUUUCCAGAGAUGGAUUCUUCCUUCGGGGUCAGGAACACAGGUGCUGCAUGGCUGUCGU
RNAcentral lists this ribosomal RNA (265 nucleotides) under uncultured bacterium. Its description in RNAcentral is "partial 16S ribosomal RNA". It matches the Rfam family "Bacterial small subunit ribosomal RNA", at positions 793 to 1055 of the family's 1533-position model. The record is from RNAcentral.